RNAcentral lists this microRNA precursor (100 nucleotides) under Musa acuminata subsp. malaccensis (wild Malaysian banana). The record is from RNAcentral. Lineage: Eukaryota; Viridiplantae; Streptophyta; Magnoliopsida; Zingiberales; Musaceae.
UUUCACAAGAGGUAUUGGCGUGUCUCAAUCCGAAGACAUGGUUGGAUGCUGACAUAGCCAUGGAAUUGGAUUGAGCCGCGUCAAUAUCUCUCCUUCACUC